UAGAGGAAGUAAAAGUCGUAACAAGGUCUCCGUUGGUGAACCAGCGGAGGGAUCAUUACUGAGUUUACGCUCUACAACCCUUUGUGAACAUACCUAUAACUGUUGCUUCGGCGGGUAGGGUCUCCGUGACCCUCCCGGCCUCCCGCCCCCGGGCGGGUCGGCGCCCGCCGGAGGAUAACCAAACUCUGAUUUAACGACGUUUCUUCUGAGUGGUACAAGCAAAUAAUCAAAACUUUUAACAACGGAUCUCUUGGUUCUGGCAUCGAUGAAGAACGCAGCGAAAUGCGAUAAGUAAUGUGAAUUGCAGAAUUCAGUGAAUCAUCGAAUCUUUGAACGCACAUUGCGCCCGCCAGCAUUCUGGCGGGCAUGCCUGUUCGAGCGUCAUUUCAACCCUCAAGCUCUGCUUGGUGUUGGGGCCCUACGGCUGACGUAGGCCCUCAAAGGUAGUGGCGGACCCUCCCGGAGCCUCCUUUGCGUAGUAACUUUACGUCUCGCACUGGGAUCCGGAGGGACUCUUGCCGUAAAACCCCCAAUUUUCCAAAGGUUGACCUCGGAUCAGGUAGGAAUACCCGCUGAACUUAAGCAUAUCAAUAAGCGGAGGAA
Molecule: ribosomal RNA, 603 nt
Filed under: Colletotrichum boninense
Lineage: Eukaryota; Fungi; Ascomycota; Sordariomycetes; Glomerellales; Glomerellaceae
Description: eukaryotic LSU rRNA
Rfam family: 5.8S ribosomal RNA (bases 231-384)
Source: RNAcentral